RNA transcript from Ailuropoda melanoleuca (giant panda), 1941 nucleotides. RefSeq lists it as uncharacterized. Lineage: Eukaryota; Metazoa; Chordata; Mammalia; Carnivora; Ursidae. The transcript is spliced from 2 exons. The record is from RefSeq and is a predicted model, not a curated record.
GGCAGGGACAUCUCCAAAGGGCUCUGUCCUUUCGGGAGCUUCCCGGAGAUGCUUUACAGCUGCUUUUGCCAAGCGCGGCGCCUGCAAGUGCUGGUGGGGGAGUCAGGUAGGACCGCCCUCCCAGCCCCUAGAAGGUUACAGUCUAAGGAAUGGACCGGGAGGGCACCGGGACAGCGGUAGUAAGCAGCGAUAAUGAAAGACUUCGAUGCUAAUUGUUAGUGAUGCAUUGGGACGCACAUCACGAACGAAGACCUUGAAUCAGGAAGCAGCAACGAGGGUGCAGGUCGUCGAUCUUGCGCUAAGCACACAGACUAGCAUUCUCUCCCCUCCGGCGCUUAGGGCAAGAUCCUUAACUGGCCUGUGCCUCAAGGAUCUCACCUGCAACAUGGAGAUGGUAAUGGUGACUACCUCACAGGACUGUGGUGGGGGUCCUAGGCAGACUCAAAGCAGUGACUCCAACGCAGUGAAAGUAUUGUUUGCUUUUAAUUUUUUAAGUAGGCUCCAACGUGGGGCUUGAACUCACAGCCCUGAGAUUAAGGGGCACAUGCUCUAUGACGGAGCCAGCCAGGCGCCCCUCUGGUAUGAUUAUUAUUAUUGCUGCCUAAGUCGGCUCCGUCUCCUCGUUCUGAUGCGAGAGGGCCUUUCCAGGCGAUUCCCACAGCCUUCCCUCAGCCGCAGCCUUCACAGCUCACACAGCACCUUCACGCGCCACGCAGGGAGUAAGGGGCUAACUUAGGCCCCUCCACCUGCCCCCGCCUCAGGGCUCCCCCAUCUCUCCCCAGUUCCCAUCCAUAGCAGCCCUGCUCCUGAAACCCCUCACGGACCACAAAGCCUUCCAGCUGAGAAUCCCCUUGUGGAGCCAGUCCUGUGAGGGUGUACGGCCCGCCCGACGGCCAGUCCUGCUCCCCGGCCUGCGCCUCUCACCAGGAUUCUUCGCCGGCAAAGGCCUUGGCCGGAGAGGGGCUGCCUGAGGGAAAUCAGAUACGUGACGAUUCUGCCACCGAGAUGUUCGCACAUUGAAGGGAAGGAAGGAGCCACGGCGAGACUGCAGACCGAGAGAUCCAACAUCCGGACAGUGGCCAGAGCACGUGGGCAAACAGAACUCUGACCCGCAAACCAACUUCUUAUCAACAAGAAAACACCAGGCGAUCCACAGGUCACAUUUGUAAGCAGACUAUGUCUAGUAACAAUUCAGAAAGCGAAACACUAACUUUCUGGAACAAUUGGCUCGAAAUGGCCAGCACUGACAACUUCCCCAAGUUUUGUCCAUACUGCAACUUAGGACCAACCAGAGAAAGUCAAAUCCGCACCCCCGGCCAGUCACACAACACGUGCAGCUUCUAGGGACCUGCCUUACAGCUUCCCCCACGCCGCCGACAGCCUCCAGAGAAGGCACAUCAGAAUCCUUUCCUUUUUCCUGCUAUAAAUAAAACUUUCCCACCCCUCUGUCUGCCCUUGAGUCUCUCUGAAAACAAGUGGCCACGGCUGACUCCCUUGCUGUAGCAAGCUUUGAAUAAAUAGCCUUUGCUCUUCCUUUAUUUCCCCAAAACCCAGGAGCGGCAGCUCAGGGAGCGAGGCUCAGACCAUCCUCCGUCCGCACCCGCGGUCCCCCUGGGGUGGAGCUCGGGCCCUCAGACGGCAGAGUUGCUGGCGGGUCCACUGGAAACGCUGAUCAGAUCUUUGGACUCAGCAGAGCGGGAGCUGGAGAAGCCAAAUUGACUCAGAUUAAAUCCCCCAGGCAUAAAAUCACAAAAGAGUUUUUGUUAGAUGCUGAUUGGGAAGGAGGGGCCCCAGAGAUCUGGGAAAAGGGUAGGACAUCUGGGAAUAGAGAAAUGAGGGAGAGGCAGGAAUUUUGCCUGGAACCGGAGCCAGGGAUUGCCUGGAGCUGCUUUGGUGGGAUGGAGAAGCGAGUCCAGAUUCUUAUCUAACCUCCACCAAGAU